Molecule: non-coding RNA, 91 nt
Organism: Mycena galopus ATCC 62051
Lineage: Eukaryota; Fungi; Basidiomycota; Agaricomycetes; Agaricales; Mycenaceae
Source: the annotation of a GenBank genome assembly
UCGGGUGUGGUGUAUGGUGCAUGGCAGUAUUGGGUUCCGUAGACCUAUCAGCGUAUUGCUGCAAGUCCGGGUUCGACUCCCGGCGCCCGAG